Molecule: ribosomal RNA, 252 nt
Filed under: uncultured bacterium
Lineage: Bacteria
Description: partial 16S ribosomal RNA
Rfam family: Bacterial small subunit ribosomal RNA
Source: RNAcentral
UACGUAUGUCACGAGCGUUAUCCGGAUUUAUUGGGCGUAAAGCGCGUCUAGGUGGUUAUAUAAGUCUGAUGUGAAAAUGCAGGGCUCAACUUUGUAUUGCGUUGGAAACUGUAUAACUAGAGUACUGGAGAGGUAAGCGGAACUACAAGUGUAGAGGUGAAAUUCGUAGAUAUUUGUAGGAAUGCCGAUGGGGAAGCCAGCUUACUGGACAGAUACUGACGCUGAAGCGCGAAAGCGUGGGUAGCAAACAGG